AGGCUGGAGUGCAGUGGUAAAUCAUGGCACACUGCAGCCUCAACCUCAUGGGCUCAAAGAUGAAGUUUUGCCAUGUUUCCCAGGCUGGUCUCGAACUCCUGGGCUCAAGUGAUCUGCCUAGCUCAGCCUCCCAAAGUGCUAGGAUUACAGGCAUGAACCACUGUGCCCAGCCAAAACCCCAAAAUGGUCUCAGGAAUGGCAUCAGCAGAUCUCAGGACUGUCCUCUCCUGGAUCUCUCACCAGCCACCUCCAACCAGCUGCCAUGGCCUCUCACUCUACUCCAAUCUUCUCUUCCUCCAUCACUUCCCUUGCACACCCUGAUAACCUUGAGAGAGAACUCUUCCCCAGGCUCUGCUCCAAACAUGUCGCCACUCUGCUUAGAACCUUCAAUGACUCCUCAUGGCCUAGUAGGUUUCUCUCCCAUCUGGCUCCAGCUGACGUUCCCAGCACCUUCUCCUGACUCCUGUCUUUUCUUGAACCAGUUCUGCCCAACAAGGAGGAAAGGGCUGACAGAGUGAAAGUCCAUGGUAUGUGGGAAUGUGACUCUUUUCACUUCAAAUUCUACUAUAACUGGAAAGUUUUGGGCAGAGUUGGACAUGUGCACUUGGCUUCCAGAAGACAGAAUUCUUUUAACAGUCAGAGACAACACUGGCUUCCUGCCAUGACAUGAGAUGCAGACAGGAGAGUUGGGAAGCUUUUUAAAGAUGGCACUGUGACUACACUCACAAAUACUCUCCAUGAGGAAGUAAAAGAAAGCACCUGCAACACUCCAGCUGUGCAGACCACUCUGUAAUGGGCUGAGAUCUGAACAGGUGUGCAGAAAGGUGGGUCAACAGGUCAGGCGUCACAGACUUGGAACAUUCAUGGUGGAAAAGAAAAAGUCCCAAAGAAGAGACUUCAGGAUAAAUGAGAAAAUACUCAAGACAGCCAAAGUCUCUUUUAGAAGCGUUGGAGAAAGAACAUUUAAUGUCAAGAGUUACUGUUGAUUGAUGGCCUUACUAUGUAGCAGGUGAGAAACCCACUGUUCAAUUCCCUAAAAUCACCCUAUUCUCCCAAUCAUCCUAUGCAGGAGAAAUCAUGAUGGUUAUCCCCAUCUUAUAAAGCAACAGAGGCUUAGAAGGAUGAACUGUCUUUGUCAAGGUUACUCAGAUCAUUUUGCAGAAGUUCCCAGAUUUGAAUCAUGCUCUUGCUUUGAGGUUAAAGACACAGGGGAAGUUGAACUCCUUAUUUCCUCUAUAUCCUCAAUAGAGAAAACCAAACACGGUCAGUAGGAGAGGAAGCCUGAGAGUUGGCAUGAAUCAGAGUGCUGGGCAAUCUGGAGUCUUCCUCGCUGGGUUGAUGAGGGAACAUGAGAGUGGGGCCUGAGCUGCAUUAGGGUGUCUGAGCUGCUGAAUGAUUCAUGUGAACCCCAAGCACACAGGAGUGAUGUUUUGAGCAGUGUGCCACAGGGGCCUGCCCUCAGGUCCCGCCAGUCCUACAUUUUAUCAAUGACUUACGUGAACACAGAAAAUGUGGAUACAACCAAAAAGUAACAAUCUAAUUAAAAAAUGGACAAAAGACUUGAAUAAACAUUUCUCCAAAGAAGAUAUACAAAAGAUCAAAAAGCAUAUGAAAAAAUACUCAACAUCACUAAUUAUUAGAGAAAUGCAAAUCAAAACUAUAAUGAGAUACCACCUUAAGUUCAUUAGGAUGACUGCUAUAAAAAUUGUAAACAAACAAACAAACAGAAAAUAAGAAGUGUUGGGGAAGGUGUGGAGAAAUUAAAAUUUUUGUGCACUGUUAGUGGGAAUGUAAAAUGGUGCAGCUGUUAUGGGAAACGGUAUGGCAGUUCCUCAAAAAAUUAAAUGUAGAAACAGC
This is a non-coding RNA of Chlorocebus sabaeus (green monkey), 1857 nucleotides long. NCBI's taxonomy places the organism in Eukaryota, Metazoa, Chordata, Mammalia, Primates, Cercopithecidae. The record is from RefSeq and is a predicted model, not a curated record.